Molecule: small nucleolar RNA, 75 nt
Organism: Manihot esculenta (cassava)
Lineage: Eukaryota; Viridiplantae; Streptophyta; Magnoliopsida; Malpighiales; Euphorbiaceae
Product: small nucleolar RNA R160
Exons: 1
Source: RefSeq, a predicted model, not a curated record
AGCGAAAAUGAUGAGCUCGUUUAAAUCUGAAUUCGGGUGUGGAAUCGCGAUUGUCUUCAAAGUUCUCUGAUUGCU